RNAcentral lists this ribosomal RNA (491 nucleotides) under uncultured bacterium. Its description in RNAcentral is "bacterial SSU rRNA". It matches the Rfam family "Archaeal small subunit ribosomal RNA", at positions 380 to 870 of the family's 1478-position model. The record is from RNAcentral.
UCCGAGUGCGAGGGCAUAUAGUCCUCGCUUUUCACCACCGUAAGGUGGUGGUGGAAUAAGUGCUGGGCAAGACCGGUGCCAGCCGCCGCGGUAAUACCGGCAGCACGAGUGAUGACCGCUAUUAUUGGGCCUAAAGCGUCCGUAGCUGGCCGCACAAGUCUAUCGGGAAAUCUGCGUGCUUAACGCGCAGGCGUCCGGUGGAAACUGUGUGGCUUGGGACCGGAAGAUCCAGAGGGUACGUCUGGGGUAGGAGUGAAAUCCCGUAAUCCUGGACGGACCGCCGGUGGCGAAAGCGCUCUGGAAGGACGGAUCCGACGGUGAGGGACGAAAGCUCGGGUCACGAACCGGAUUAGAUACCCGGGUAGUCCGAGCUGUAAACGAUGUCUGCUAGGUGUGACACUGGCUACGAGCCAGUGUUGUGCCGUAGGGAAGCCGUGAAGCAGACCGCCUGGGAAGUACGUCCGCAAGGAUGAAACUUAAAGGAAUUGGCG